This 159-nucleotide non-coding RNA is filed under the name bovine gut metagenome. RNAcentral's name for it is "Lysine riboswitch". It matches the Rfam family "Lysine riboswitch aptamer". From Rfam's summary of the family: Riboswitches are metabolite binding domains within certain messenger RNAs that serve as precision sensors for their corresponding targets. Allosteric rearrangement of mRNA structure is mediated by ligand binding, and this results in modulation of gene expression. This family includes riboswitches that sense lysine in a number of genes involved in lysine metabolism, including lysC. The record is from RNAcentral.
UGUGAUAGAGGCGCGGCCGACAAGAGUAACUCCGAAAAGCGACAGGAAUCGCGGAGCGAAAGGGGAGGCCGCCGAGGGUUGAUACGGGUUCCUGUCCGUAUCUUCGCCGGAUCGUCGGGAAAUACCCGCCGGACUGUCGCCGAGAGGCGGAGAGCUGUC